UAUAUGAUACCGUUUAUUGAAGUUUUUUCAAUAUUAUCAUCUGAUAGUUGUCCACCUUGUGAGAACGGACAUAUUGUUCAACAUAUUAAACCAUCUGGGAUCAGCAAUAUUCGUCCUGUCCACACUUCAAAUGGAGGUUAGUCGUAUCACCAGUUGCACCGCAAAACUCUCAAAGAUUGAACGUCUUCUGCUCCUUCAAUAGUCAAUAAUAUCAACGUUAUGGUGCGUGUCACAAAUUCGUUAACGCUUGUCAUAACUACUCCAGUUGGUUAUCUAAAUUGAAUAGAGAUUCAAUAAUUGUACUCAUUCUCCUACACGGCUCAACCUGCUUUAUACUCAACAAAUCAUCGUCUUGAGUUAAUUGUGGUUCAAAUGGACACAAGUAAUCAUCCUGGUCAUCAUAAUUCAUGGACUAGGAUUCUGAAGACUGUUGCCUGUCAUGGUUAUGCCAUUGCUGUUUCUCUUUCCAUGGAAGUUACAACUUGAAAAGAUGCAGUUUGAUGCAGUUCAGGUGAAUUUACAAUUUUUACAAUUCUACGAUUGCAUCUAUAACUACACCUCUCCAAAUAAAACGAAACAAAUGAUGAAAAUUAUUUAAUGUACGGUUUGAUAAGGUCAACAGGUUGUUCGUUCAUUCUUGUCUGAUAACUUAUUUUGUGAUUUGAUCUUGUUGAUGUGCAAAAACGGGAUUCAGGUUUUAUUUAUUCCAUGGUUCACACCCCACUCAUGUAGUCACUGUUUAAAAUAUCUUAAUAAAUUCUUAAUCAUUUGAUGAAACCUUCUUUAUUUACGUAGAUAACAAAAUAAUUUCUCAUGUGAUUGAAUAUUAACAUGAUAUCCAAACAUCUUCCCCAUUUACCUUCUCGAACAUUUUCUUUUUCAACCUUUCCUUUGAUUUCAUAUUCUUCUUAAAAACCUCUCUUUUCUCCUUAAUAUUCUUCCGCUAUUAGACUUCACCACAUAGGACCGUGGGGCAUCAGCUUCAUUAAUAACUACUCCAGGCUCCCAUAAUUUUGUUCUCCAAUCUUGGAUAUAAAUGGGCUGA
Long non-coding RNA from Nilaparvata lugens (brown planthopper), 1045 nucleotides. RefSeq lists it as uncharacterized. The record is from RefSeq and is a predicted model, not a curated record. NCBI's taxonomy places the organism in Eukaryota, Metazoa, Arthropoda, Insecta, Hemiptera, Delphacidae. The transcript has 4 exons.